GACGAACGCUGGCGGCGUGCCUAAUACAUGCAAGUUGAGCGCUGAAGGUUGGUACUUGUACCAACUGGAUGAGCAGCGAACGGGUGAGUAACGCGUGGGGAAUCUGCCUUUGAGCGGGGGACAACAUUUGGAAACGAAUGCUAAUACCGCAUAAAAACUUUAAACACAAGUUUUAAGUUUGAAAGAUGCAAUUGCAUCACUCAAAGAUGAUCCCGCGUUGUAUUAGCUAGUUGGUGAGGUAAAGGCUCACCAAGGCGAUGAUACAUAGCCGACCUGAGAGGGUGAUCGGCCACAUUGGGACUGAGACACGGCCCAAACUCCUACGGGAGGCAGCAGUAGGGAAUCUUCGGCAAUGGACGAAAGUCUGACCGAGCAACGCCGCGUGAGUGAAGAAGGUUUUCGGAUCGUAAAACUCUGUUGGUAGAGAAGAACGUCGGUGGGAGUGGAAAGCUCAUCAAGUGACGGUAACUACCCAGAAAGGGACGGCUAACUACGUG
This 497-nucleotide ribosomal RNA is filed under the name uncultured bacterium. Its description in RNAcentral is "partial 16S ribosomal RNA". It matches the Rfam family "Bacterial small subunit ribosomal RNA", at positions 28 to 507 of the family's 1533-position model. The record is from RNAcentral.